CCGAAUGGGGAAACCCAGUGUGACUCGUCACACUAUCAUUAACUGAAUCCAUAGGUUAAUGAGGCGAACCGGGGGAACUGAAACAUCUAAGUACCCCGAGGAAAAGAAAUCAACCGAGAUUCCCCCAGUAGCGGCGAGCGAACGGGGAGGAGCCCAGAGCCUGAAUCAGCAUGUGUGUUAGUGGAAGCGUCUGGAAAGGCGCGCGAUACAGGGUGACAGCCCCGUACACAAAAGCGCAUGUGCUGUGAGCUCGAUGAGUAGGGCGGGACACGUGGUAUCCUGUCUGAAUAUGGGGGGACCAUCCUCCAAGGCUAAAUACUCCUGACUGACCGAUAGUGAACCAGUACCGUGAGGGAAAGGCGAAAAGAACCCCGGCGAGGGGAGUGAAAAAGAACCUGAAACCGUGUACGUACAAGCAGUGGGAGCACCCUUUGGGGUGUGACUGCGUACCUUUUGUAUAAUGGGUCAGCGACUUAUAUUCUGUAGCAAGGUUAACCGAAUAGGGGAGCCGGAGGGAAACCGAGUCUUAAUUGGGCGUUAAGUUGCAGGGUAUAGACCCGAAACCCGGUGAUCUAGCCAUGGGCAGGUUGAAGGUUGGGUAACACUAACUGGAGGACCGAACCGACUAAUGUUGAAAAAUUAGCGGAUGACCUGUGGCUGGGGGUGAAAGGCCAAUCAAACCGGGAGAUAGCUGGUUCUCCCCGAAAGCUAUUUAGGUAGCGCCUCGUGAAUUCAUCUCCGGGGGUAGAGCACUGUUUCGGCUAGGGGGCCAUCCCGGCUUACCAACCCGAUGCAAACUGCGAAUACCGGAGAAUGUUAUCACGGGAGACACACGGCGGGUGCUAACGUCCGUCGUGAAGAGGGAAACAACCCAGACCGCCAGCUAAGGUCCCAAAGUCAUGGUUAAGUGGGAAACGAUGUGGGAAGGCCCAGACAGCCAGGAUGUUGGCUUAGAAGCAGCCAUCAUUUAAAGAAAGCGUAAUAGCUCACUGGUCGAGUCGGCCUGCGCGGAAGAUGUAACGGGGCUAAACCAUGCACCGAAGCUGCGGCAGCGA
This 1055-nucleotide ribosomal RNA is filed under the name Salmonella enterica subsp. enterica serovar Rubislaw. RNAcentral's name for it is "bacterial LSU rRNA". It matches the Rfam family "Bacterial large subunit ribosomal RNA", at positions 114 to 1211 of the family's 2925-position model. RNAcentral also lists the same sequence under 2 other names. Lineage: Bacteria; Pseudomonadati; Pseudomonadota; Gammaproteobacteria; Enterobacterales; Enterobacteriaceae. The record is from RNAcentral.